AUACGUAGGGGGCAAGCGUUGUCCGGAAUCACUGGGUGUAAAGGGUGCUCAGGCGGAUCGGUAAGUCAAGGGUGAAAUUUCAUAGCUUAACUGUGAAUGUGCUUUUGAUACUGUCGGUCUAGAGUUCAGAAGAGGGCAAUGGAAUUCUUGGUGUAGCGGUGAAAUGCGUAGAUAUCAAGAAGAACACCAGUUGCGAAGGCGGUUGCCUGGUCUGUAACUGACGCUCAAGCACGAAAGCGUGGGGAUCAAACAGGAUUAGAUACCCUGGUAGUCCACGCCCUAAACGAUGAAUACUCGGUGUCGGGUCGUAAGAUUCGGUGCCUAAGCUAACGCUUUAAGUAUUCCACCUGGGGAGUACGAUCGCAAGGUUGAA
This 373-nucleotide ribosomal RNA is filed under the name uncultured bacterium. RNAcentral's name for it is "bacterial SSU rRNA". It matches the Rfam family "Bacterial small subunit ribosomal RNA", at positions 523 to 898 of the family's 1533-position model. The record is from RNAcentral.